This 677-nucleotide long non-coding RNA is filed under the name Helianthus annuus (common sunflower). RNAcentral's name for it is "sRNA HanXRQr2_Chr03g0087751". Lineage: Eukaryota; Viridiplantae; Streptophyta; Magnoliopsida; Asterales; Asteraceae. The record is from RNAcentral.
GGAUAUCAAGUGAGAAGAGGGAAACCUUUUUCACUUCUAAAAUUCAGCAAUAAAAGGAAGAAAUUGAAGCUAAUCACCUGCAUGUUCAUCUCAAUCGAACCAUCUUAGCAUUCUAAACAUAAGUUAGGAUGAUGGUUGGAUCAAAGAAGAAAGCUCAAGUUGUUCCGGAUCGCAAACGAACAACGACAAAGAUAAGUUCAUUCGCUUACAAGUAAUAGUAGAUUGUUAUAUUUGGAUGGUCAUUAUUAUUCUAGAAUUUGAAUCUUCACAUGUGCAACGGGUUAGUAUAAUUUGAAGAUGUGAUGAGAAUAUGAGAUGAAUGCGUAGAAUGAAUGUCACGCCAAGUUGGGAGGUUAUGUUUGAAUGAAGCUUUAAAUUGAUUUUCUUGUAGUUUUACUAGUAAAUUUUAAAGUCAUAUGAACUUACGGCUUAAAUGGUAAAUUGGUUGUUGAAUGUAGGUAAAGCAACUUGAUGGAUGGCGCUAUUUGGAUCGAACACACUUAUGAUGCACGCUUCCGCAAAGAUAAUAACUAUGGUUUAAACGUUUGAUAAAAGGUCGUGUUAAAACGGGUCUUUUGUAUGUAACUUAGUCCGGUAGUUGUUAGAUAUGAACUUGUAGUUAAAAAUUAUGUUAAUCCUUUAAGGAAUAUUUGGGUCAUAAAUUCUUUUGUAAUUAU